This 645-nucleotide unclassified non-coding RNA is filed under the name uncultured Campylobacterota bacterium. RNAcentral describes it as "uncultured Epsilonproteobacteria bacterium partial 16S-23S ribosomal RNA intergenic spacer". The stretch from base 89 to 162 matches the Rfam family "tRNA". The record is from RNAcentral. Lineage: Bacteria; Pseudomonadati; Campylobacterota.
UUAAAAAAUCUCUCACGAGUCUUGUAUUGGUUUGACUGUCAUUUUCUGCUUAGUUUUCAGUGAUCCGUGUUAUUUUACAUUAUUACAUGGGUUUGUAGCUCAGUUGGUUAGAGCACACCCCUGAUAAGGGUGAGGCCGAUGGUUCGAGUCCAUUCAAACCCACCAUAUAAAAUGAUAAUCAGAAGUCUGAUUCAAGCACUACUAAGUAGUAUUUGAAUUAGACUUUUAAAGUCUAAAUGUUAUUUGAAUUAUUAUUGUUAAGUCGUCAACUACUACUGAUGUUAUACAUCAAAUGAGCAAAAGCCCAUUUGAUGGCAGGGACAAAUGUCCCUUGCAUCCCCCUAAAGCUAUGAAAAACUUAGUUUUUCAAGAUUUAAGAGAUAAGUAACAUCGGUAGUUAAACGUAACUACAAAAUCAUUUUACUGUCUUAUUUUUAAUAAGGCGGUGAAGCGCAAAUUAGAAUUAAAUUUACAAGUUUGGCACACAUACGGUUUCCGGACGCAAAAGCCGAAAGCUUUUGUGUGCUUUAGUAGACCUAGCGUCUAGCGUAGGUAAGAGUGACUUGUUGCUCUUACCGUGUAAUUAAAAAAGAUAUUAAGAGCCAUAGGUGGAUGCCUUGGCUGGUAGAGGCGAUGAAGGACGUA